RNAcentral lists this ribosomal RNA (301 nucleotides) under uncultured bacterium. RNAcentral's name for it is "partial 16S ribosomal RNA". It matches the Rfam family "Bacterial small subunit ribosomal RNA", at positions 509 to 809 of the family's 1533-position model. The record is from RNAcentral.
CAGUCGCCACGGUAAUACGGAGGGUGCGAGCGUUAAUCGGAAUUACUGGGCGUAAAGCGUACGCAGGCGGUUUGUUAAGUCAGAUGUGAAAUCCCCGAGCUUAACUCGGGAACUGCAUUUGAAACUGGCAGGCUAGAGUCUCGUAGAGGGGGGUAGAAUUCCAGGUGUAGCGGUGAAAUGCGUAGAUAUCUGGAGGAAUACCGGUGGCGAAGGCGGCCCCCUGGACGAAGACUGACGCUCAGGUACGAAAGCGUGGGGAGCAAACAGGAUUAGAUACCCGAGUAGUCCCUGUCUUUAUACA